GAUGAACGCUGACAGAAUGCUUAACACAUGCAAGUCAUUGGCGAAGCUGCGCUUGCGCAGUCUAGCCAAGGUGGACGGGUGAGUAACGCGUAAGGAACUUGCCCUGCAGACAGGGAUAACAGACGGAAACGACUGAUAACACCUGGUAUUGUCAGGCUGGCGCAUGCCGGCCUGAUGAAAGGAGACGCUGCAGGAGAGCCUUGCGUCCUAUUAGCUAGUUGGUGGGGUAACGGCCCACCAAGGCGAUGAUAGGUAGCCGGCCUGAGAGGGUGAACGGCCACAAGGGGACUGAGAUACGGCCCUUACUCCUACGGGAGGCAGCAGUGGGGAAUAUUGGACAAUGGGGGCAACCCUGAUCCAGCAAUUCUGUGUGCACGAAGAAGGUUUUCGGAUUGUAAAGUGCUUUCAGCAGGGAAGAAGAAAGUGACGGUACCUGCAGAAGAAGCGACGGCUAAAUACGUG
This 462-nucleotide ribosomal RNA is filed under the name uncultured bacterium. Its description in RNAcentral is "partial 16S ribosomal RNA". It matches the Rfam family "Bacterial small subunit ribosomal RNA", at positions 28 to 507 of the family's 1533-position model. The record is from RNAcentral.